UACGUAGGGUGCAAGCGUUGUCCGGAAUUAUUGGGCGUAAAGAGCUCGUAGGCGAUUUGUUACGUCGGCUGUGAAAACCUGGGGCUCAACCCCGGGCCUGCAGCCGAUACGGGCAAACUAGAAUUCGGUAGGGGAGACUGGAAUUCCUGGUGUAGCGGUGAAAUGCGCAGAUAUCAGGAGGAACACCGGUGGCGAAGGCGGGUCUCUGGGCCGAUAUUGACGCUGAGGAGCGAAAGCGUGGGGAGCGAACAGG
This 253-nucleotide ribosomal RNA is filed under the name uncultured bacterium. RNAcentral's name for it is "partial 16S ribosomal RNA". It matches the Rfam family "Bacterial small subunit ribosomal RNA", at positions 524 to 776 of the family's 1533-position model. The record is from RNAcentral.